AAUAAGCCCCGGCCAAUUACGUGCCAGCAGCCGCGGCAAUACGUAUGGGGCGAGCGUUGUUCGGAGUUAUUGGGCGUAAAGGGCGUGUAGGCGACCCGACAAGUCUGGUGUGAAAUCGCAGGGCUCAACCCUGCGGGUGCGCUGGAAACUGUGGGGCUGGAGUCCCGGGGGGGAAGCUGGAAUUCCUGGUGUAGGAGUGAAAUCUGUAGAGAUCAGGAAGAACACCGGUGGCGAAGGCGAGCUUCUAUUCGAGGACUGACGCUGAGGCGCGAAAGCGUGGGGAGCAAACAGGAUUAGAUACCCUGGUAGUCCACGCUGUAAACGAUGUGCACUAGGCGUGGGGCACGUCGGUGCUCUGUGCCGUAGCUAACGCG
RNAcentral lists this ribosomal RNA (374 nucleotides) under uncultured Nitrospirota bacterium. RNAcentral's name for it is "bacterial SSU rRNA". It matches the Rfam family "Bacterial small subunit ribosomal RNA", at positions 485 to 859 of the family's 1533-position model. Lineage: Bacteria; Pseudomonadati; Nitrospirota. The record is from RNAcentral.